GUACGGAGGGUGCAAGCGUUAAUCGGAAUUACUGGGCGUAAAGCGUGCGCAGGCGGUUUGUUAAGUCAGAUGUGUAAGCCCCGGGCUCAACCUGGGAACUGCAUUUGAAACUGGCAAACUAGAGUGUGGUAGAGGGAAGUGGAAUUCCUCAUGUAGCGGUGAAAUGCGUAGAUAUGAGGAGGAACACCAGUGGCGAAGGCGACUUCUUGGACCAACACUGACGCUCAUGUACGAAAGCGUGGGUAGCAAACAGGAUUAGAAACCCCGGUAGUCC
This 274-nucleotide ribosomal RNA is filed under the name uncultured bacterium. Its description in RNAcentral is "partial 16S ribosomal RNA". It matches the Rfam family "Bacterial small subunit ribosomal RNA", at positions 523 to 796 of the family's 1533-position model. The record is from RNAcentral.